UCAUUUUGAAAUAAUGAUGCAUGCAUCCAAUACACUAGGUGUUCAUGGAGGUGCACGUGAGGGUGUGUAUGCUAACAUUCCUUUGUAAAUAAAAUCAUAGCUAUUGUUCACUUUAUCUCCAGGUCUCCCAUUCUUCAGUUCAAUGACCAGACCUAUAGUCCACCACUACAUUAGCAUCAUUCAAAUAUGAUAAUAUUGCAAGCAGUUUUCAUGAUCUUCAUGAAUUUAUCAGAACUACUAACUGAAUUAGCUGGCAUUUCACAUGAAGAACAGAGAGCUUAUUAGCUAUACAGCAUGCACAUAUAUAAAACUUUGAUGCGACUGAAUAGCCACACGACCAACUCAUGUGACUGAUAGUAACAACAGAACAGAUGUGAUAAAAGCAUAUAGAGUUAAUAAGGAACAUGGGUUGUCUAAAUGUACCUAUUGUCUGAAUCGUAUGCUGAAAAACAACCCUUUUUGGCGCAUCGUUGCUAUAUGGAAAGAAUUGUGAUGAUAAAGCCAACGCAAGAACACUUCCAUGCAGCAAAACUUGGAUAAUUGGUGGUUUUGCCAACCAUUUCCCAAUAACAGGUAUACAAGGGCCAAAACACCAGCCUGUCACUAAUCCAACUAUAGCGGCAACUAUUGCAUCAGGAACAAAAUAUCCUGAAAUAAUUGCUAAUAUGUGAGAGGAUUACAGAUACUUGUUUCAAAUCCUACUUGGGUUUUGGGAUUUUUCAGUCUUAAUUAUGCAAGGACUACAAUCACAAUGAUAUUGCAGAAGAUUAGAAAUGCAAAGGAUAUCUCAGUAGAUAUAGCAAUAUAAUGUUCCAUCAGUAAAUGCAACCAGCUCAAGGAUCCAAACAAGUGCAACAGAUUAGAAGAAUCUUGAUUUUGCAGUCUUCGAAGUACAAAAAAGCUGUAUACCAACCAUAAGGAGGUGGAUGAGAGCCUGCCAUGCCCAUUUUUUCGAUGACAAAGACAGCAAGAAAUCCACCAAAGUAUACAGAGUACAUCAGGCAAGGUACCAAAGGGAUCACAUAUGAUGCUGCAGACCUGACAGACAGAAACAUCUUGGUGAAAAUACAAGCCAACUAGUUAUAUACUGAUAUGGUUAAGUUGGCUGAAAUAAAGCUAUCCUGCAUAAGAAACUAGACCAUGAAACACCAAAAUGCUAGUACAUUAAGUACGCCAAAAAUACCAUGACAAAAGGAUUCUAGAAUUGAAGAAAGAGUUAUUUAAACUAGCACCUGAGAGAUUGUUGACCAAAUGUCUUUACCGAUAGACGAUAGGAGAUCCAAGCUGGAAGCAUAGAAACUGAUACAAAGAAUGUGAUGAAACCCCCACUCAACCCCGAUACAAGGCUUGCCGGUUUUCAGAAUUUAUGUGAACAAUUUAAGUCUUAGGAAACUAAUGCUGUUAGGAAAGUAAAAAGAUAUGCACCAUCGAUCCAACCAUAUACAAACUCCUAAACUGAGUAAGACAACGAAUAUUUUCACCUACCAAAGUCAAGAGGGUAUAGAACCCAAAUGCUCCCCAGAACCUUGCUUCAUCAUCCAAUUCCUGCCAAAAAAAAAAAAGAAAGAGAAUAGAACUUCUAUAGUUCAACAUCGAGAAGUUAACAAAAGUAACAUGAAUCUAUACAUUAAUUAAAUGAGUUAAAUUUAGUGGACGGUCUAUUGUUAGGCGAAAGUCAAAAUUUUCCUCAGUUAGACAAGUGUCAGAUUGAGAAGAUUAAGGACUUCUUUUAGGUAUUGGAACUCAUUAGUUGCCAAACUAGAAACUUGAAAGGAAGGUUGUUUCCGAUGGCUUUGGAUUAGUGUAGGUCAUAACCAGCAAGGAUACAACAUAUAAACAUCUUUAAAGUUUAUAGAACAGUAUACCAGAAGGAAAAACAUUUGUCCACCAAGAUGAAAAUAAGACUGUAACAGAAGCACACACCUCCCGUGAUAAUGAAAGAGCCAAAACAUCUUGAGAUAGAGGAAAUUGCUUCCAAAUAAUUCUUGGAACCAACAGACCAACAAUUGAGCAUGGCACAAACAUUAGAAACGCCAAAAAUGGAUUUGCAAACCUGUAUAAACCCAAAAAGAAAGGGUUAAAUUACCAUUCCUCACACAAUGAACUACAGAGGGUAUAGAGAAAGAAACAAAAUAAUUGUUUUUUUUCCUCAAUACUAAAUUCGAUCAAAUUGAAAAGAAAGAUUAGGUUAGCACAUUGUCUUAGUGAGAACCAUCAGAGAAAGCAAAGUUAAAAAGUAGACACACCAGUUCAUGGAAUGUCCNCCAUGAAAAAUAAUAGACAAUAAAAAUUUAUGCCUUUAAAUGUCUCUUUUCUUUUUCUACAUUUUACACAAAAGUGAAGUUCAUCAUUUUUUCUUCCUUAUUUUCACUUCAAAGAUUGAUAAUAUUCUCCCUCCAGAAUGUAUUGUUUUUUUAUUUAUUUUUAGAGGAAAAUUUCAUUCCCUCGAAUUGAACAUAAAGGCAUAUAUAUGAGCACAAGUAUUAUUCUGCAUUAUACAUUUUGAGACGUAUCAAAUUUUUAGGUAACACAUUUGAAUUUAGUUGAUUAUUCAAGGAAAUUAUUUCAAUUUUCAUGCUCCAAUCCUUAAGAUUUUGUCACAUUGACUGUGACAUAAAUACAUUGGUUAUUUACUUUGUCGAAAUAAGCUCGAUCUACUGGAAAACUAAAAUAAAAAGGAUACUUGACUGUAAACACUAAAUUUUUGUAUUUCAAUUUGAUAAAAUACAAAAUGCGUUACAAAGAUAAUUUGAUAGAUUUGAAGAUAGAUUUAUGCGGGUUGCAAUCUCUAGUUAAUCCUCUUAUUCUUCUCUUCCAUUUUGAUUCUUGGGGUGCAAGCUCGAAGGUUCUUGAAAUACUUGAUUUGAUGACGCCAAUCCAAGGGACUCAAAGCAUGAUUUUGGAUUGAACAUUGAACUUGAUUUGAUUUGAGAACAUUCUUAGAAUUUGUAAGAAUGCCUUGAAGCUUUUGAACUUGAUUUCUUUGGAUACUUGAAGAUCACUUCAAAGAUUCGCAGAAAUACUUGAAGAUUUGAAGAAAUGCUUGAAGAUUUUGAAGAUACUUUGACUAUUGCCUUGAAGAUCUUGAAGAUACUUGAAUACUUGAAGAUUUGAAGAUUACUUGAAGAUAACUUGAAUACUAAAACAAUUGAAGAUUUGAAGGAGACUUGAAUGCUAGAUAGAAUUCUUCAAGAUACUUGAAUACUUGGAAGAAUACUUGAAGAUACUUGAAUACUUGAAUGCUAGUAUUAGAGUUAAUAUGUUGUGUUUACAAUGGUUAGGACCUUAGAAACCAAUUUAUCUGUGGUAUACGAUUAAAUUUGAACCAUAGAAAUGAUAUAUCAAUACGUGUAAAGGACGAGAAUAUGAACACAACCUACAAAAUAAGUGGGAAAAAUCAUUGAUGAAACGAGGGCAAAAGAGAUCGAGUAAGAAGUCCAAGAAGAAAUAUGCUAUUUAGGAUCCAAAAUACAUAUCCAAGCACAUAAGAAAAUUUCGAUUAAUCUCCAAAAUCCAAACAUAGUUCAAAACAAAGUGGACCAAAAAACAACUUUCAAAACUUGAACUACAAUAUGAUCCAACAAAUAGCCAAUUGCUCAAGACUUCCUCGGUUUGCUCGUCGCCAACUGCGACUCGGGCUAUAAAGAAACAACAAACAACAAUCAUGGUCAGGGCUUAAUCAAAUGAAGUACAAUAUAAAUCAAUUAAUAGAGCUGGAUAUUAAAACUUCAAAACGUAUCAAUUUGUUACCUCCUUUUUCACAGGCUCUCCUUUUCUGACAAAUCAACUCAAUAUGGCAAGGUGACGACAUGUAGGCUGAGAAUAAGGUCGCAUUAGUUCAUCCACAAAGUUACAGUUAUGAAAAGAAAAGACUAUAAUGACAUGCAAACAUACGGUUAAUCCUUCCAUGAGCACGGUAUGUGCGACACCUUUGCUUCUGGGCCUGGUUAACCUGAAUGUGAGAAAUGAAUAGUGCAUCCACAUCCAAACCUUUCACAUGUCAAAAAACCAAUAAUUAGACAUGGAAAAGAAAAGGAAGACAUCAGGUAUAAUAACUAAAGAAACAGGAAACGUACCUCAGCAUUACUUUCGGCAUUCUUGAGCAAAUCCAAGAUGAACAUGGCAGAUUUCACUGGCCAGCGACCUUAUCCGUUAGAGUGUCUAUUCUUGGCGUGAGCAGUUCGCCCAACACCACCACAGAAACGAGUGAAAGGUAUGGCCUGUUUGUGGGCAAGCACAUCCUCCAAGUACCUCUUGGCCUUGCCCAAAGGCAACUUCCUGAUGGCGUGCGCUGUCUCCCUAGUGUUCUGAUAAAAUAAAAUUUUCAUACUUAGCUAAUUCAUCAUAAUCUCCGGAUAACAUCACGAAAUAUAGCAUUCAUUUAAAAUCAGAACAGAAUCAUUUAUUAGACAAUUAGGCAAGCAGAAGAGAAUCCAUAAAAGUUGUACACAAAUAUGAAACAUAACUGACAGCAAUACAUAACUCAACAUAAAUUGACUUCAAACAUCACAAAUGUAGCAUGUUUACUGAACCAUCAAAUCAUAGGAAAAACUCAAGUGGUUCACCCAAUAACAUUGCACGACUUCUAUCCCUGAAGUUUACGAGAGACCUAUCCACAAAUGGCAACAGAUCCCUGCUUUUUUACAUCAAGUUGAACAUAUGCCAGCUCAAAAAAGCUCACGGUAGACACUACUAUAUGUACAACAUCAAACGAAUAAGGUGACAGACACAGAAAAUGAAAGCAUUAUGGAUGUAGCAUUGUUUACUGAACCAUCAUUCAUCUGAAAACGCAAAGUGGUUCACCCAAUAACAUUGCACAACUAUUAUCCCUGACGUUUACAAGAGACCAAUUCACAAAUGGCAAUAGAUCCAUGCUUUUAUCAUCAAGUUGAACGUCUAAACUGCAGAAUAAAUUACAUUACAUAGAAAUAAUUAAUGAACCCUAAAACUAUACUAAAAUGGGCGUAACUGAUGAACAUUAAGAUUGAAUUAGCUAAAUUAAACUGAACAGAAGUCCAAACACAUCGAUUAAUUUAUUGUGUAAAAUAAAAAGGAAGAACAACCAAUUAAAAAAAGUGUUUAGCUUAGUUAAUCAUUAAAACAAGCUCGGUGGAAUAAAUAAAAAAGACGAAUUUACCUUGAAAUGAACUCUGAGAUCAGAUCCCCUAGCCUUGCAAGCUGCAACAAAUAUACAACCAAAACAAAAUCAGCAAACAACACAGAUAAAACGCCGAACGGAAUAAAUCAUCACAAACAACAUAAACCUACAUUAGUGAUGUUAUCGGGCUCUCUCGAGUAUUUCACCUGUAGAAUUUACAGCAUAAUUAAAUUAAAGAUCAAAUUCGCAAAUGCGUUUGGAUAAAUUUAUGUGACUGAGAGAAGAUGAAAGAUACCAUUGUUGCAGCUGUUCUUCUUCGGCGGUACUGCAGAAACUGCGGAAGUCGAUUGAUCUUCUUCGAAUGAGAAAGAGAAGAUAUGGUGCAGAAGAUUUUAUAGUAAAACCCUAAUACUCAAUGGCUUCAUGGGUUGGGCUUCAACUUUUUGGGUCUAAAUUGCGAGGUAGAAGGGCCGGCCCAUAAAUGAACAUAGUAGAUUAUUUAUGUUUUUGGUCUCAAUAAGAUAAUAAUGAGUUUAUUUUUCAAAUUUAAAUUUAAAUUAUACUUCAUUUAUUUAUUAAAUUUUAGAGGAAAUUAAAAUUUCAUUCCAAAAUGUAUUUUUUAUUUAUUUUUAGGGGAAAUUUUCAUUCCCUCGGAUUUGAAUUUAGUUGACUAUUCAAGGAAAUUAUUUCAUAUUUUCAUACUCCAUUGUCCUUAAGAUUUUGUCACAUUGACUGUGACAUAAAUACAUUGGUUAUUUACUUCGUCAAAAUAAGCUCGAUCUACUGGAAAACUAAAUAAAAAGAUACUUGACAUCGCUAAAUAAAGAUUAUGGGUUCUUUAUAAUAAGAUAUUAAUGUUUAAAAAAUAACCAUUGCUUAUAAUAUCAAUGGUAACGAUCAGUAUUAUACUUUUCAUCUAUAGUUGUAGUCAACACUUAAAACUUCAAAUUCUUUUGAUAAUUGUUUCCGUUGCUUACUAAAAAGAGUAGUAGUUAUAUAAUGCCCAAAAACUUUCACUACAUCAAAAGAAAGAAUUUCAACCAAAAUGUUUCUUCAAUCAAUCAAUUAUGAUCACUGGAAAAAUAGUUUCAAAUUUCAAUCAGUAUGUAAAUCCAUAUUAAAGAGACUAGCCAAGUAAAUUAUACACAAAGUGAGUAAGAAAAAAAUUAGGCGAAGAAGCAAGAGAUGCAUGGGAUUAGAAGGUAUAGGAAGACAAGAAACUUGUGAAGGCAGUGACAUCCAUCCAACUUGGAAAAAGGCCUUUCAAUUUCGUCGUUUGCUCGGUUAAAUGCAGGUCCACCACAGCAACAUCGAGCCUCAGACGUUCCGAUGUGUUGGCCUGCACAACGGAAGCAUGCCAGUUGCAUCAAGGUUUCAGAAACUAGAUUAAGAUUGUCUGAAGAUGCAAGGAAUCUCUUCAUCAGAAGCCAUGAUCAAUUGUGAGAUAGUUUGAUUACCUCCAACCAGAAUGUCCAAUUCUCGUGGCCUGUGCCGCUCAGUCUGCAAAUGUAUGAUGGUGGCCCGUUGCCAAUUCUAACGGUAGCUGUCAAAAGUUCGAACAGGUAUUAGCCUACGACAUAGAAAAUGACGUUGGGAUUGGGACAAAGGAAUUCAAAUCAACCUGGAACUAUGUUAUUUGCAAAUGACCAAUUUGAUAACGGUCCUGUAAUGUUGAGGACUGCAACCCACACCUCCUUCAAGGAACUGCAUGAGGGAGUCAAACGCAGUAUUUCAUCGUAUUAAGAAGAAUCCAGGAAGCAAGCCGUCCGACAAAGGACUCUAUCAAAUACAUAUCAGCGGAGAAUUUUAGAAAGCAUACCCUAACGAGAACUCCAAGUUGACUCUCCGAGAUCCCUCAGUCGAGAUGCUAGGGGAUAUGUGAGACGUCACAAGUGGAAAUUUUGAGUAUUCUUUCAAGAUUUCUUCAUUCGUUGUGGGAAACUUCAGGCUUCUUGAAAACAAAGCAUUAAUGGGAAAAAUUCCCUGUAAAAAAGAGAAUUUGGAUUCAUAAUCAGUGUCCAUUGUAAUCAUAAAUUUAGAGGUACUUUUGCUAAUCAAGCUCAUAUGGUGAGAAGCUAGCCAUAUUGGGACCAUAAGGUACUAUCAAGGCACUUGUUUUUUGCUAUUCAAUGUCAAUAAUAAGCAGUAUGAGGCUAAUGUUUAAUUUUGAUGCUGAAUGUGUAAAUUGCAUGGCUUGACCAAGUAUGGAUUGUAUCACAAACACUAGUAUUUGUUCCAAUGAGGUGUGAAAUCCAUGAUAGUAAUAACAGAAACUCUUUGUUGGCAAUACCAAACUCGACAACCGAAAGAUUCCUACAGGUAAGGACCUACUCCUGUCAUGGAAACUCAUGAAUUCAUUUUCUUAUUCAUGUGAUAUCUUCAUAAAAGAUCGUGACAAUUCACUAGGGUCAAACAGACGUAAAAAAAAAGAACUUAAGAAAUUACCGUCCAUCUCUGAGUAUCUGAUUGAGUGACCGUGUCAAAACUUAAUUCUUUAUCACCAUACAGUGCAUUUGCCGCGUCAGGUGCAUGAUGGAAAACAAACAUCAGGGAAUUGGAGUCAACUACGGCAAAAUCAAAACUAACUCCAGAUACUUGAUCUGCAUCUGUCGAAUGGAUGAGAAUAGUGCCACAAAUUGAUGUCAUAUUGGGUAGAACCGAGAGUUAUUGCAGAGAGCAGUCAAUAAUUAGCCACUUGAAAAUAAAGGUGAAUGCUAGCCUACACGCCCAUUGUGGGCACAUCCAUGACACCUAGAGCGUAUUCCUUUUGAAAUAAUGAUACAUGCAUCCAAUACACUAGGUGUUCAUGGAGGUGCACGUGAGGGUGUGUAUGCUACAUUCCUUUGUAAAUAAAUACAUAGCUAUUGUUCACUUUAUCUCCAGGUCUCCCAUUCUUCAGUUCAAUGACCAGACCUAUAGUCCACUACUACAUUAGCAUCAUUCAAAUAUGAUAAUAUUGCAAGCAGUUUUCAUGAUCUUCAUGAAUUUAUCAGAACUACUAACAAUUAGCUGGCAUUUCACAUGAAGAACAGA
Molecule: long non-coding RNA, 8131 nt
Filed under: Salvia miltiorrhiza (redroot sage)
Lineage: Eukaryota; Viridiplantae; Streptophyta; Magnoliopsida; Lamiales; Lamiaceae
Description: long non-coding RNA (SMIL_LNC008470)
Source: RNAcentral